Molecule: ribosomal RNA, 850 nt
Filed under: uncultured bacterium
Lineage: Bacteria
Description: bacterial SSU rRNA
Rfam family: Bacterial small subunit ribosomal RNA
Source: RNAcentral
UNCUCUGGCUUAACUGGGGGCUUGCGGUGGGUACGGGCCGGCUNGAGUGCGGUAGGGGAGGCUGGAACUCCUGGUGUAGCGGUGGAAUGCGCAGAUAUCAGGAAGAACACCGGUGGCGAAGGCGGGUCUCUGGGCCGUUACUGACGCUGAGGAGCGAAAGCGUGGGGAGCGAACAGGAUUAGAUACCCUGGUAGUCCACGCCGUAAACGUUGGGCACUAGGUGUGGGGGGCCUUUUCCGGGUUUUCCGCGCCGUAGCUAACGCAUUAAGUGCCCCGCCUGGGGAGCACGGCCGCAAGGCUAAAACUCAAAGGAAUUGACGGGGGCCCGCACAAGCGGCGGAGCAUGCGGAUUAAUUCGAUGCAACGCGAAGAACCUUACCAAGGCUUGACAUGUGCCGGUCGGCUCCGGAGACGGGGUUUCCUCCUUGUGGGGCCGGUUCACAGGUGGUGCAUGGUUGUCGUCAGCUCGUGUCGUGAGAUGUUGGGUUAAGUCCCGCAACGAGCGCAACCCUUGUCUCGUGUUGCCAGCACGUUGUGGUGGGGACUCGCGGGAGACUGCCGGGGUCAACUCGGAGGAAGGUGGGGAUGACGUCAAAUCAUCAUGCCCCUUAUGUCUUGGGCUUCACGCAUGCUACAAUGGCCGGUACAGAGGGCUGCGAUACUGUGAGGUGGAGCGAAUCCCUUAAAGCCGGUCUCAGUUCGGAUCGGUGUCUGCAACUCGACACCGUGAAGUUGGAGUCGCUAGUAAUCGCAGAUCAGCAACGCUGCGGUGAAUACGUUCUCGGGCCUUGUACACACCGCCCGUCACGUCAUGAAAGUCGGCAACACCCGAAGCCCGUNGCCUUAUGGG